This 442-nucleotide ribosomal RNA is filed under the name uncultured bacterium. RNAcentral describes it as "partial 16S ribosomal RNA". It matches the Rfam family "Bacterial small subunit ribosomal RNA", at positions 338 to 795 of the family's 1533-position model. The record is from RNAcentral.
CCUACGGGUGGCAGCAGUGGGGAAUAUUGGACAAUGGGGGGAACCCUGAUCCAGCGACGCCGCGUGAGUGAAGAAGUAUUUCGGUAUGUAAAGCUCUAUCAGCAGGGAAGAAAGAAAUGACGGUACCUGACUAAGAAGCCCCGGCUAACUACGUGCCAGCAGCCGCGGUAAUACGUAGGGGGCAAGCGUUAUCCGGAUUUACUGGGGGUAAAGGGAGCGUAGACGGCGAUGCAAGUCUGAAGUGAAGGCGGGGGCCCAACCCCCGGACUGCUUUGGAAACUGUAUGGCUGGAGUGCAGGAGAGGUAAGUGGAAUUCCUAGUGUAGCGGUGAAAUGCGUAGAUAUUAGGAGGAACACCAGUGGCGAAGGCGGCUUACUGGACUGUAACUGACGUUGAGGCUCGAAAGCGUGGGGAGCAAACAGGAUUAGAUACCCCUGUAGUC